This 365-nucleotide ribosomal RNA is filed under the name uncultured Glomeromycotina. RNAcentral describes it as "LSU rRNA". Lineage: Eukaryota; Fungi; Glomeromycota. The record is from RNAcentral.
UUGAAAGGGAAACGAUUGAAGUCAGUCGUACCGACGAGAAAUCAGCUUUUCGAAUGUGCAUUUGUGGGCGUAUGAGAUCUUCAUUGUUUGCAAUAUGUAUGUUUCUUUGGUGUAUUUUUUCGUAUGGUAGGUCAAUGUCGGUUUUGAUCGCCAUAAAAUGAUCGGAGGAAUGUAGCUUCGGCUUCGGUUGAAGUGUUAUAGCCUUUGGUAAAUGUGGUGAUUAAGACCGAGGAUUGCAACGAAUACCUUUUAGGCUAUCCGUCUGACCUCUGAAAGUUACUUAGGUGCCGAAAGCUUGCUUACGGUAUUAAGGUAUUACGGUCAAAAGGUUAGAACGGAUUACAUUCGUUAAGGAUGUUGACGUA